Molecule: long non-coding RNA, 289 nt
Organism: Artibeus jamaicensis (Jamaican fruit-eating bat)
Lineage: Eukaryota; Metazoa; Chordata; Mammalia; Chiroptera; Phyllostomidae
Exons: 3
Source: RefSeq, a predicted model, not a curated record
GCGACAGCGGCCCAUAUACAUGACACGCAGGUCCGGGUGGCCGCGGCAGCGCGCCACACGCAGCUCACACUCGUCACGCCCCAUUUCUCAUGUAGGGAAACAGGUUCGACCAGAAGAAGUCUACCACUCAGGACCCUGGACCUUCGGAAAUGCAAAUCGGACACCACUAAUGCCUGCUCCUGUCCUCAGGCCUUCCCAGGCUCAUUGCAGGGGAGGCAGUGGACCAGGCCCAAGAAGCCCAGGAGGCUGAUCUUGUUCCCUGGGUAGGUGAAGUUGGACCAGGCAGUAU